This 91-nucleotide transfer RNA is filed under the name Phyllobacterium sp. SYP-B3895. Its description in RNAcentral is "tRNA-OTHER". The record is from RNAcentral. Lineage: Bacteria; Pseudomonadati; Pseudomonadota; Alphaproteobacteria; Hyphomicrobiales; Phyllobacteriaceae.
GCGGGUUUUACAGUAUAAGUUGUUGAAUAUGCACUGAUCGGCCCAGCUUCCCAAGCUGAAUACGAGGGUUCGAUUCCCUUCACCCGCUCCA